UAUAAAUGGCAAUAGCCAAAUUUAAUUUCAAUAAACACUCAAUCACAAAAAGUACUUGCUCCGCCAAGACUCGAACCCGGAUCUCUCAAUUGCAGGGUGAAUGUGCUGUUACAUGCACAUACAUUGCGACAUGCAUGCAUUGAGCAUUUAAAUUAUUAGUGCAUGUUCAAGCCAUUUGAAACUCGUUGGUACUUCAAUAGCUCUAAAAUUUGCAAAAAGACACGCAAUAUUUGAGCCUACCAGGAAAAAUUCUUCUCUUUUUCUUGUAGGUCAAACCAAGUUGAAGUCUAAGUGACACAAGAUGGAAUUGCAGAUUGGAAAUCGUAAACGCAAUCCUAGACAAGUAUGAAAAGAAAGUUGAAACACUAAGAGAAAUAGCAAAAACGGAAUUUCCAAUGGGGGUGAUGCCAACUCUUUAAUCAAAUCCAUGAAAGACUUUACUUUAAUUUUCUGUUUGAUUCUAUUCAAAAGAGUACUAGUACAGUGCGACAUCUUGACAAAAGCACUACAAGCAACCAAAAUCAAGGAAGAAUACACUUUUUAACACCAUCACCAAUGACAUGUUAGACCAACAACAUACAUGACCUGUGUCAGCACUACUCAGUAGAUGAUUCAUUCUCUUGUUUGAGAAGGUUUAAAACAUAUCUAAAGAAUAUGACCAGUCAAGAAAAACUAUCAUCACUUACCUUAACGAAGGAGAUGAGUUUGUAGACGUCAAUAUUCACAGCAUCAAAAAGAAAAAUGAACUUCGUUUAAAAUCAGUGUAGUCUACACCAAAUUUUUGGUACAAUAUUUUUCAGUGACAUUUACUAUAAUAUAGUAAUAUGUAAAUUGUAUUCAGUAGUGUGUAAUGUUUGCUUAGUAAAAUAUUAUAUAUGUUUAAAGCCAAAAAAAGGAAGUUAGUAUUUACUCCAAAUUACUCAUACAAGAUAAUUCUUGGUAAACAAAAUAAAAAUCAUGUUUUCAUUAGUUAGUCAACAAACUUGAUGUGUGCUAACAUUUGUACUCUUCAUUUGCAAUAGUUUUUUGUACCAAAUCUGGAAAACGAAAUUGAUGAAUAUAUAUACUUAAGUUAUUAGAUGAAAGUUUAGAAGUGGUAACAAUUUAGUUGAGAUGUUUGAUGAUGAUUCGUAUGCUGACCCAGAUUUUGUUGUGAGUUAACAUGACAGUGUUAGUGAUGGCAAUAUUGAAAGCAGUCAGCCCGAUCCAAGCAUGUCUAGAAAGUGUAAGAUAUUUUCAAGUACACCAAAGAAACAUUUAUCUCAUAAAAACAUAGGUUAUAUGUUCAUAACAAACAAGACAAAACACUUACUUCGGAGUUUCAAAAUCAUGGAAGCCCGUAGACUCAACUUUUAAUGUUUAUCCCUAUAAUCCAGAAAAUAAGGCUUUAGGAAUCAAACCAGAUAUUAUUAAUUCUAUAUCUAACUGUUCACCUUUUGAUUUUUUUCAACUAUUUUUGGACAAGGAAAUGUUGUCUUUACUAGUAACAGAAACAAAUCCAUAUGCCAAACAAUGUUUGAAAAUAGCUUUUAGUCCUCAUUCCAGAUUGGCAAAAUGAACAGAUACUAGAGUGGAAGAAAUGAAAAACUUUAUGUACAUCUUGAUAAAGAUGGGUCUGCAACAAUUGUGUAGCUUAGCCCAUUACUGGCGACAGGGUGACAUGUAUAUGAGCUGCAUUUCUGAAAUAAUGUUAGGGAUUAGGUUAGAGCUCUUUUUGAGGAUUUUUCAUGUUUCAGACAAUGAAACAGAGCAGCAAGGGGAUAAGCUUAGUAAAACAUCAAAUUUAGUCACAAUUUUGAAUGAAAAUUUAAAAUUUGCCUUUUACCCAAAGAUAAAAUUUGUAUUGCUUAAUCUGUGGUUCUAUUUUAGGUUGGCUAAUAUUUCAUCAGUAUUCGAAAAACAAACGCCACAAAUAUGGUGUUAAAAUGUUCAAACUUUGUGUUGAAGAAGGGUACACUCUUCAAUAUAAAAUAUACUCCAGUAAGGAAAGAACCUACAAAGGAUGUUUCAUUUAAAGUUUUCAUGAAACUAAUGGAGCCUUACAUCAAUUUUGGCCGAACCGUGCAUAUGGACAAUUGGUAUACUAUUGUUCCUCUGGCAAGAGCACACAAAACUCAUCUGGUCAGAACCUUCAGGAAAAAUAGAAAAGAAAUCUUGAAAGACGCUGUCAAAACAAAAUUGAAAAAGGGGAAAUUCUAGCUAAAAGAAUGAGGACAAUAGAGAGGUGGCAAAAAUAAAAACAUACCUGUUGCAACUAUCGACAACAAAACCGCAAAAUCUUACAUCGACUACUCAGAUCAAAUGGGUUCUUAUGGAACACCACUUAAGACAAUCAGUGAAGUGGUAUAGAAAGAUUGCUAUAGAUCUUUUGUUGACAACUUCUGUUAUAAAUGCUCUGUAUUUAUUCCAAACUGAAACAGGUAAACCAAUGAUAAUAACUGAGUUCAAAGAAAGUUUAUGUAAAUAACAGAAGAAAAAAUCAGCCUUAAUUUUGGUGGAACCUUUGCAGAGGCAACAUACUUUGAUUAAACAAAGCACGUGGAGUAAAUGCACUAAAUGCUACCAAAUGAACUGCAAAGAAAGAGGUAAGGAGUUAGCGCAGAAGAAAACAAAAAAGGUGUAUAUUAAGUACCUCUGAUGUGAUAUCUUCCUAUGCAAACACUGCUUUUACAUUUAGCACCCACCAAAAGCAAAAUAAGGACCAUAACUUCAGAAAGAUUGUAUUUUGCCAUAGGGGUAACCUAAAAUUGUAUUAUAAGUUAUUUUUAGAAUUUAAUAUUGUAUUGUUUUAUUUUCCUACCUCAAGUAACAAAUUUUUAUUUUUAUUGAUAUAUCUUUAAAAUAUAGGUAAAACAUUCAGUAAAAUUCAAGACUGCAAUAGAAGCCGUGAGUACCACUUAGGUACUCUAGGCACAGCAAGAGGCCAUGAGCACCACUUUGGUACCCGCACGUUUUGUUAUCGAAAAUUUGUAAAUAAUUAAUGAAUCUUAAUUAUUAGAUGUUUUUAAACAAAAUUAUUCAAAAAUAAAUGGUAAAAAAUACUGAUCCCAGUGGUCAGAUACCUUACAUCAGUAUGGUAGUUGUUAACCUGUGAGAAUUUAAUUUAAAAACUUUUCCAGGGCUUCCUUUCCCCUAAGGGGUAUUCUAUGCAACCUCCCCCCCCCCAAUCUCCUGGUAGGUUUGCAUCCCCCAAAGACACCCCAAAUCCCGCCCAUGCCUUUAACAUGCUACACUUUUACAAAAGUUACGUUUUAAAGUUUUAUUCAAACCAAUAAUAAUAAUAAAUAUGUUGGUGGUAUCAAACAGUUUAACAAAUAUCUUAGAAAAGCUUACAAAUGUAUUUCAGUGGCAAAACAGCACUGAUUUAAUAUGUCCUUAUAAGCAACAAAAAAGUGCUAAUUUAAUAAAACCACUUGUGUCCAUCCUUGCUGCAUGGUUCUGACAUUGUUGGUUAUCUUUAGUAGCUGACACCCUGGUCAACAGUUUGCUUUAUGACAUUGUAAUUUUUCCUACAGGAUCAAAUAAUUGUUAGACGAGUUUCAUAAUUCAAUUCCACUUUUAUUAUGAAGGCACAUAGUUAUUAUUGGAUAUUAAUUAAGUUUGAUUACCUUGUAUAAAUUAUGUUACAUAUAUGAGACAACACCAAGUCUUAAAACUAUAAUUACAUAACAAAAUUAAAAAUAUAUAUCUAAAAUAUAAUUAUAAAAUCAGGUACAACAUAUGUUAUAUUAUUAUACAAAGUGAAAGGCACAUGUUUUAUUUUUUAACUAAUUAAACGUGCUUCUCUUUUUUAUGGAGUUAUAAUUGUAAUACCAUUAUGAAGUAUUAUAAAAUAUAAUUUAUUUAUAUUUUUUUUGUAAUACUAUACACAAAUAGUAAUUAACACUAACCAUUUACGUUGCUUUAUUUUUAUAUUCAAAAUAGAUUAGUUACGACUAUUUCAUAAACAUUUUUAGGACCUGAAAAUAAAAUAAUCUGUUUCAUUUGGUUAUUUUUAUUCUUGUCUUUUUGUUCAUCCAAUAUUAUAUUGUUUCUUUUGGAAACCAAGUAAGAUUCGUUUUGUUUUAUGUUAUGUGAGGUAAGUACUACGUUAAAAGGUGUGCUAGUCCAGGUACUCUGGAUUUAUUUCAAAGUAUCAGCAAAUAUAAAUAAAUUAUUGUUAUUAUUGAUGACUUACAGUUUUGGUAAUUAAUCUACAAUAAAUAUAAUUUUACAAAUUGCCUUAUUAGUUAUUAAUAUUUUUAAUAAAUGUAUUGAAAAUUGUGUUUAUGUAGCAUGCUUUAGGUCUUUUACUUAAUACAUUAACUUUCUUGGUAUGAGGAAUUAUUAGACAGGAAUAAUGGACUAUUGGAUUAAUAUACACACUAAAAUCAAUAAGAUACGUAUUUCCUAGUAGAACUGAAAUCUUCCCAUUUAUAAUGAAUGAGUUAGAGAAGCUAGAUAAACAUGCUGUAAGAAUGCUACAUUAAGAUUAAUUAUUGAACAAAUGCUUUUGCAAGAACACUCUAAAUUAAACCAAAUAAAAUUCAGCUGUGUUUGUUGUAA
This 4545-nucleotide long non-coding RNA is filed under the name Homalodisca vitripennis (glassy-winged sharpshooter). Its description in RNAcentral is "uncharacterized LOC124356996". The record is from RNAcentral. Lineage: Eukaryota; Metazoa; Arthropoda; Insecta; Hemiptera; Cicadellidae.